GCUUACGGCCAUACCACCUGAACAUGCCCGAUCUCGUCCGAUCUCGGAAGCUAAGCAGGUCGGGCCUGGUUAGUACUUGGAUGGAGACGCCUGGGAAUACCAGGUGCUGUAAGCU
This 115-nucleotide ribosomal RNA is filed under the name Labrus bergylta (ballan wrasse). The record is from RNAcentral. Lineage: Eukaryota; Metazoa; Chordata; Actinopteri; Labriformes; Labridae.